This 501-nucleotide ribosomal RNA is filed under the name uncultured bacterium. RNAcentral's name for it is "partial 16S ribosomal RNA". It matches the Rfam family "Bacterial small subunit ribosomal RNA", at positions 29 to 523 of the family's 1533-position model. The record is from RNAcentral.
AUUGAACGCUGGCGGCAUGCCUUACACAUGCAAGUCGAACGGCAGCACGGGUGCUUGCACCUGGUGGCGAGUGGCGAACGGGUGAGUAAUACAUCGGAACGUACCUUAUCGUGGGGGAUAACGCAGCGAAAGCUGUGCUAAUACCGCAUACGCCCUGAGGGGGAAAGCGGGGGAUCGAAAGACCUCGCGCGAUUAGAGCGGCCGAUGCCUGUUUAGCUUGGUGGUGGGGUAAAAGCCCACCAAGGCGACGAUCAGUAGCUGGGCUGAGAGGACGAUCAGCCACACUGGGACUGAGACACGGCCCAGACUCCUACGGGAGGCAGCAGUGGGGAAUUUUGGGCAAUGGGGGCAACCCUGAUCCAGCAAUGCCGCGUGAGUGAAGAAGGCCUUCGGGUUGUAAAGCUCUUUUGUCAGGGAAGAAACACCGGCUCUAACACAGUCCGGGAAUGACGGUACCUGAAGAAUAAGCACCGGCUAACUACGUGCCAGCCGCCGCGGUAA